Molecule: long non-coding RNA, 2634 nt
Organism: Canis lupus familiaris (dog)
Lineage: Eukaryota; Metazoa; Chordata; Mammalia; Carnivora; Canidae
Exons: 3
Source: RefSeq, a predicted model, not a curated record
GUGGGGCCGCGGGGCUCCAGCUGCAGGGCCCGGGGGGGGGGUCCCGGGGACCCAGGGAGUCCGGGGCCGUGGUGCGCUCGGCGAGGCGAAGCUAGACGACGAGCCCCUGAGCCGCGGCCUCCCGUCUACUGCUUGCCAACAAUCCGGGGUCCGCUUGCCAGGUUUUGUCCGCCUGCUCAUCCGAGGUCAUCGAGUAACCCCGGGUCAACAGGUGCGGACGAUGGGAGGACGACUGUCACCUCCUCCGGCUUCACAGCCAGAACUGCGCUAAGCCUUUUACAUACAUUCUGUCAUUUGGUUUAAGUUCCUUUGUACAGAUAAGGAACCUGGGACUUAGAGAACCGUCUUCCCUACCACGGGCUGUUAGAGCCAACGUGAGUCCUUUCUCGUUCCAAAGAGCGACUCUGUGUUGUCCUGUACAUUAAGUGUAUGAUCCCUUCAACUGAUAACUAGGGACGCCUGGGGGGCUCAGUGGUGGAGCGUCCGCCUCUGGCCCAGGGCGUGACCCCGGGGUCCUGGGAUCGAGUCCCACGUCCCGCUCCCUGCAUGGAGCCUGCUUCUCCCUCUGCUGGGUCUCUGCCUCUCUCUCUGUGUCUCUCAUGAAUACAUAAAUAAAUAAACAUCUUAAAAAAAAAAAGUGACAUUGCUUAAAAAUGUUAAAAAUCUGCUGCGUGUAUUUAGAAGGACAAGAUACAGUCUUGGACCCUGAAAAGUGUGUAGAUUAAAGAAUGACAAAUGAAAAAUUAACGUACUUUAAAAAGCAGAAGAUAAACAUUGACACUGCAAUCUGAUGAUUGUCCUAACGACCCGAAGGUAAUGGUGACAUGGAGAAGAACUACCACAUGCAGGACGGAGGAAGAGAGAGAUACCGGAUACACGUCCAAGGAGCACGACUCCGAGCGGCGGGGGCAGGAGGAAGCGUGUUGGCGAAGGCGGGCCGCUGUGCACCCCCUGCAGGGAGUUGCCAGUGCACCUGGCCCAGGUGAGCGUGGACGUGUGAAGACGGAGGGUGAGAGCGGGCGAGAGGCCGAGACAGUCGGCGCUGAGCAGGACGGCGGGCAGGCCCUGUGGUCGUGCCCAGCCUCGGAAGUCAGACGGUAGGAGGUGAUCUGUGACUCUGGAGGGUCACUCUGGAGCAAGGGACCGACACUGACGGCAGAAACCAAAUACAAUGAAAUAACUUAAUCUGGGAGGGAAGCGGAGACAAGGGGAGGAGGGAGGCUUCAGAGGCGGCCAAGGACUCAACAGAAGAGGGCUGCGGAGCUAAUGAAGGGGGCUAAGGAAAGAAUGGGACUCUUGGGAUGGGGUGAUUUGACUGAUAGUAGAUGAAAUACAGACUUCUAGAAGUCCUAAAGGUUUUGGAGAAACACAAAGUUUUGAGGAGCCUGUCACAGAGCUCCUGGGCUCAGCUGGAGAGGCCAAGCCCUUGCUGACACCUACUACGGGCUGAGGGGUCAUCCGCACGUUGGUGCCGGAGGAAGCUGCAGCUCUGGACGGUAAGGGCCAGAGUCACGUGCUCAGAGUGAGACGCAGGCCAACGGUGGGCCCUGGGGAACUCUCCCUGCCUCUCCUCCAGUUAAGGGAUGGUCCAAAGAAAAGACUACCUGAAAAGACAGCCUGAUCGUUAAAAAUUAAUUGUUCUUGAUUCACAUGUUUAACGUUGUGCUUACAGGAAUACUCUGGCCAAAUCUCUACCUUGGAUAUUACCUUUUCAGGUCAUCAUAACAUCAACUGAUGCUCCUGGAUAAUUGAAUGAACGAUGCCCAACGUAAGACUGUGAUUGGUUUGUGUGAUUUCAUAAAUGCACAAAAGACACAUGAACUUACUCAGUGAUUUUUACUUUUGUCAAGGUGAAUAUAAAAACAAAUUGGACUUAUAUUGCUUUUUAAUGAAACACCUCUAACGCUAGCGGAAGAUGGAUGCACAGUUAUCAAAUGCGCUUUGGCGAUGAUAUUUAAGGAAACAGGUCAAAUAGAAAGACCAGUUUUGCAAAUAUGUCCGGGAAAACCGUCAACUCACAAACCCAGCUAAGAAAAAGAUUAUGCAUUUACAGGAGCCGGAGAAGAACAACAAAUUCUAAGUCAGAAUUGGCGUCCUAGCAGAGAAUUGUUUUAGGACUCCACUUUUUACGGAAAAUGGGUAAAAAUAUAUGCAAGUGAUUAGCACAAAUGGACCAGUGAACGAGUAGCCCGUGUUGAUACACAGACACACGCACGUACGUACUCAUGCGAUAGAGUCAAAGGAUUGCUUGUGAAGAUUAAUAAGAUAAUGCAUGCAAGGUCUUAAAAAUAAAGAAAAAACAACCUCUGGUACAGAGUAAAUACUCAGCAAAUGCCAAGUAUUUUCCUGUUAUUUUAACUGCCUCAUUGUUUAGCUCACUGCUAUCCAGACGGCUAUAGAAACAAACUGUAGAUAAUACAGUAAAUGAUUCUACGCAUUUUUAUUGAGCUUUACAUAACUUAGAAUUUGUAUUUCUAGAUUAUUUGUCUUGAAACAAUCAGACUAAAGAAACUUCCAAAUAUGUGUUAAGGUAUUUUUAUUAAAAUCUCAAAAGAGGGAUCCCUGGGUGGCGCAGCGGUUUGGCGCCUGCCUUUGGCCCAGGGCGCGGUCCUGGAGACCCGGGAUCGAAUCCCA